UUUGAUUCUCGGCCUUUCGGCUAAGAUCAAGUGUAGAAUCUGUUCUUAUCAGUCAUUGACUUCUUAAAUAUGUUUUUAUUAUCAUUAUCCAUCUGCUAUUCAAUUUUAAAGAAUUCUGAAUUCAAAGAAUCCCUCGAAAGGACUAGUCAUAGACAAAACCUGCCCUAGGUGCCGUGGGCUGAUUCAAUGGGGA
This is a small nuclear RNA of Echinops telfairi (small Madagascar hedgehog), 193 nucleotides long. Its record names the gene U2. It matches the Rfam family "U2 spliceosomal RNA". From Rfam's summary of the family: U2 is a small nuclear RNA (snRNA) component of the spliceosome (involved in pre-mRNA splicing). The record is from Ensembl. NCBI's taxonomy places the organism in Eukaryota, Metazoa, Chordata, Mammalia, Afrosoricida, Tenrecidae.